GAUGAAGAACGCAGCGAAAUGCGAUAUGUAGUGUGAAUUGCAGAAUUCAGUGAAUCAUCGAAUCUUUGAACGCACAUUGCGCCCUUUGGUAUUCCAAAGGGCAUGCCUGUUCGAGCGUCAUUUGUACCCUCAAGCUUUGCUUGGUGUUGGGCGUCUUGUCUCCAGUCCGCUGGAGACUCGCCUUAAAGUCAUUGGCAGCCGGCCUACUGGUUUCGGAGCGCAGCACAAGUCGCACUCUUUUCCAGCCAAGGUCAGCGUCCAACAAGCCUUUUUUCAACUUUUGACCUCGGAUCAGGUAGGGAUACCCGCUGAACUUAAGCAUAUCAAUAAGCGGAGGA
This 338-nucleotide unclassified non-coding RNA is filed under the name soil metagenome. RNAcentral describes it as "partial contains 5.8S ribosomal RNA, internal transcribed spacer 2, and large subunit ribosomal RNA". The stretch from base 1 to 120 matches the Rfam family "5.8S ribosomal RNA", at positions 35 to 154 of the family's 154-position model. The record is from RNAcentral.